Molecule: long non-coding RNA, 1046 nt
Organism: Pogoniulus pusillus (Red-fronted tinkerbird)
Lineage: Eukaryota; Metazoa; Chordata; Aves; Piciformes; Lybiidae
Exons: 2
Source: RefSeq, a predicted model, not a curated record
UUCCCCCCAUCUUCCUCUUUACAUCUCCAUAAUUUUCCUCUCCACCUCCCUCCUUUCAACACCACCGCCCCUUUCCCCCCAAACCCAGAGCACCUGUGUUCUAUUGGAGUCUCCUCCCACCCCAGGUGUGACCACUUUGCCCUCCCUGCCCACUCCCCUUUAUAAUGAGCCUCAGGGAAGGCAGAAGCUCCAAGCUUGCCCAUUGUGGGCAGAGGGAUCCUCCUCGCAUCAUCACCACUGGCUUCUACUCAGAAAAAUCAUCUGAAGCAAAACAUAUCCUGCCAAAAAGGAAAGCUGCCUGCUGACAGUCAUCCCUGGGAAGAAAGGAGACAUCCUCUUGUUUUGAUGGAGGCAGAGAGCCUAAGCAUCUCUCUAGAAAUUGCCUUGACCGAACUGCCUUCUUGCAGAGCUCCAGUUCACUCUUUCUCGGUCGCUUUCAUUCAGUCCUUUUCUGCCUCUGCAAGGGACCUUUUUUCUCUGAAUGCCCAGGGGUGAAAAAUCACUCUCCAUUGUAACCAGAAAGUUAAGGGAGACAGUUCAAGGGUGGCUUCUCACCUCCAUUUCAGCUGUUUUAGCUUCAACCUUCAUACUGGUUUUCAUCAUAAUUUAAGGAAAAAAUGUACAUGCCUGACCUUCUACCCUCCUAGAAUGUGGGCAGUAACUCUUUAUAUCACACUAUAUAGCAUUUUAAUGUAAUUGAAAUAGAAACUCUGAUGUUAAUUGCACUGAGAUAUCUGGAAUAGUAUUCUUUUUCUUAGAAGCUGUGCCUAUUUGAUGUCUGCAAGAGAAGUGAUAGAGCCCCACUGUCACAAUGGUGAUGGUAGAUAGCUCUACCAGAAAGGCAGCUCUUCAGUAGUGUUAUUUUUGUGAGCGCUGUCGACUGUUGUCCCAUACGUUGAGCACACCUGGGAGAGGCUUGGUCUGUGCAAUGGGGUUUUUCAUGCUAGAUGAAAUGGCAGAUCUCUUAGGACUGAAUUAUUCAUGCUGAUGUCAUGACCUUUCAUUAAUAUACUCAGUUUCAAAAAUAAACGUUCAUUCUUUUAAAA